GUACAAAAUUCUGCUAACUGUAACUAAGACUGAUGGAAGUAAGGGAAAUAACCCUGUAUGUGGAAAAGUAGGAGAUAUGUAAGAAAGAUAUAAGGAAUGGGAAUGCAUUUUGUUGAAGGAGAAGAAGGUAAUUUUGUCCUAAAUGAGAUGGUUGUUUGGAAGGAAAUGACUUGGGACAAAGCCUAAAUGCAAAGGAAAGUUGUAGAAGGUUUGUGAAAGGAAAUCUUCAGAAAAAGAAUUUUUUAAGUGUGGUCAUGACGGACUAAGAUUGAAAUGAAUUUUAAAAAGACACUGGUAUAGAAAGCUGGUUUUCUCUCUGUUCAAGGACAAAGUCUUUUUAGGUUAACUGAUCUGCUUUUAAGAAGAAAAUGCAAACAGUUGUUUCCUCUUUGCCUGUCCAGAAAAACCAUUUUCUAUAUUUUGCCUAUAUUGGGUCUUUAUAAAUAUCCCUAAUUAUAUUUAGGCAUAUGCUUUAAAACUUUCUAAGAUUUUAACAAGUGUUGACAAGAUUUAAAUUAUAAAUGAAGUCCAGACACAUUUCCAUUGGUCUGGGCCUGCCUGGAGGCCCUCCUUUUUCUCUUCUGCUGAGUAAUGGCUGCCCCUGAGACCCAGAGGGUUGCUGCCGGAGGGGAGGAGGGGAGGGGCACGUGGAGCCCAAACGACAACCAAGGCGUUUUAUUCGCAGAUUAGGCCCAGGACUGCAGUCCGGAGGGUCUCCUUGGCCUGUGCCCCUGGCAGCCCACAUCUGGCAGAGAAGCCGGUUCUCUGCUUGGCGCCUGCCCUGCAGAGUGGGGGAUGGAGGGUGCUUUUGGCUUGUCGGCUCCCACACAGGCCCCUUGUUGGACAAGGGAUUGACCCCUUAGUGUGUAUGGCUUC
This 876-nucleotide long non-coding RNA is filed under the name Mustela putorius furo (domestic ferret). RNAcentral describes it as "lncRNA (ENSMPUG00000026387.1)". Lineage: Eukaryota; Metazoa; Chordata; Mammalia; Carnivora; Mustelidae. The record is from RNAcentral.